AUGGCCUCGCCGUCGUCCCCUAGCCGCCGGCUCGCCGGAUCCCUAAUCCUGCGGCCAGGCGCGGAGGGGUCUCUGAUCCCGGGGCUCCCGGACGACGUCGCGGCCGUCAUCCUCUGCCUGCUCACGUUCCCCGACCAGUCCCGCCUCCGCGCCACCUCCCGCGCGUGGCGGCUCCUCCUCUCCGCCGCGACGCUUCUCCCGCUCCGCCGCAGCCUCCGCCUGCCUUCCCGCCACCUCGUAUGCCUUUUCCCCACCGACCCAUCCCUCGCCUCCCCCAUCCUGCUCGACCCUGCUGCCCCCACCGCCUGGUGGCCCCUCCCGCCGAUCCCCUGCUCGCCGCAGCUAUACGGCCUCGCCAAUUUCGCCGCAAUCGCCGUCGGGAGCCACCUCUACGUCCUCGGCGGUUCUCACUUCGACGCCCGGAGUUAUCCCCUUGGCCACCCCUCACCCUCCGCCGCCGCCUACCGACUCGACCUCGCCCUCUCUCGCCACCGCUGGGAGCGCCUCCCGGACAUGCACAUCCCGCGCGGGAGCUUCGCCUGCGCUCCCGCGCCCGGCGGCGGGGUCGUCGUCGCAGGCGGCGGGUCCAGGCACCCGACGCUCCCCUCCUCUGGCAGCCGCACAAGCAGCACCGAGUGGUACGACGCCGCCACGCGUACCUGGCACAUGGCCACGGCGAUGCCCCGGGAGAGGGCCGGGUGCGUGGGAUUCGUGGCGCACGGGGCAGGGGGUGUGGGAGAGGAUGAAUUCUGGGUGAUGGGCGGGUACGACAGGUAUACCACAGUGGGGGGAGUGGUGCCGAAUGACCUCUACUGCCGGGACGCCAUGGCGCUCGGACUGUGGAGCGGCAAGUGGAGGGAGAUUGGAGAUAUGUGGGUGGAAGGGGAGAGACGUCGACUCGGACCGGUGGCCGCCAUCUCUGCAGAGGAUGGGAAGGUUACAGAUGUGUUCAUGCUCGACGGAGACGAUAUCUUCAGGUAUGACUUUGCUUCAAACGGGUGGUCGAAGGAGGCUACUUUGAGGAGAAAGAUCCCAGAGACUGAUCUGUGUGGCUUCGUAUCAUUGAACGGUGAACUGCAUGUGCUUAAAUCUGCCAAACUUCCUGCCGAAACCCUCCAUCCUCGGAGGCAGUUAAAGAAGAGGCUGGCUUUGGAGUUUCAUGUUUAUAACCCGCUGGCAAGGAAAUGGAGAGUGUUCACCACAUAUCCCCCCGUCAGUGUGCCCAUCGAUUUCAGAACAGCAGCUCUUUGUACAGUUGAGUUGUAG
RNAcentral lists this ribosomal RNA (1266 nucleotides) under Triticum aestivum (bread wheat). Its description in RNAcentral is "partial small subunit ribosomal RNA". The record is from RNAcentral. Lineage: Eukaryota; Viridiplantae; Streptophyta; Magnoliopsida; Poales; Poaceae.